Molecule: ribosomal RNA, 253 nt
Filed under: uncultured bacterium
Lineage: Bacteria
Description: partial 16S ribosomal RNA
Rfam family: Bacterial small subunit ribosomal RNA
Source: RNAcentral
UACGUAGGGGGCAAGCGUUAUCCGGAUUCACUGGGUGUAAAGGGAGCGUAGACGGCCAUGCAAACCUGGAGUGAAAGCCCGGGGCCCAACCCCGGGACUGCUCUGGGAACUGUGCGGCUGGAGUGCGGGAGGGGCAGGCGGAAUUCCUGGUGUAGCGGUGAAAUGCGUAGAUAUCAGGAGGAACACCGGCGGCGAAGGCGGCCUGCUGGACCGCGACUGACGUUGAGGCUCGAAAGCGUGGGGAGCAAACAGG